This 450-nucleotide ribosomal RNA is filed under the name uncultured Paraglomus. Its description in RNAcentral is "SSU rRNA". It matches the Rfam family "Eukaryotic small subunit ribosomal RNA", at positions 569 to 1024 of the family's 1831-position model. Lineage: Eukaryota; Fungi; Glomeromycota; Glomeromycetes; Paraglomerales; Paraglomeraceae. The record is from RNAcentral.
AGCAGCCGCGGUAAUUCCAGCUCCAAUAGCGUAUAUUAAAGUUGUUGCAGUUAAAAAGCUCGUAGUUGAAUUUCAGGCCUGGCUGGACGGUCCGCCCUUCGGGUGAGUACUGUCUUUGGUCGGGCCCUACCUUCUGGCGAAGCGUCAUGGCCUUAACCGGCCGUGGCGGGGAACCAGGACUUUUACUGUGAAAAAUUAGAGUGUUCAAAGCAGGCAAUCGCUUGGAUACAUUAGCAUGGAAUAAUGGAAUAGGACAAUGGUUCUAUUUGUUGGUUUCUAGGACCGUUGUAAUGAUUAAUAGGGAUAGUUGGGGGCAUUAGUAUUCAAUUGUCAGAGGUGAAAUUCUUGGAUUUAUUGAAGACUAACUACUGCGAAAGCAUUUGCCAAGGAUGUUUUCAUUAAUCAAGAACGAAAGUUAGGGGAUCGAAGACGAUCAGAUACCGUCGUAGU